GGCCUUUUGGCUAAGAUCAAGUGUAGUAU
RNAcentral lists this non-coding RNA (29 nucleotides) under Callithrix jacchus (white-tufted-ear marmoset). The record is from RNAcentral. Lineage: Eukaryota; Metazoa; Chordata; Mammalia; Primates; Cebidae. RNAcentral also lists the same sequence under 4 other names.